UACGGAGGGUGCAAACGUUGCUCGGAAUUAUUGGGCGUAAAGCGCGCGCAGGCGGUUUCUUAAGUCUGAUGUGAAAGCCCACGGCUCAACCGUGGAGGGUCAUUGGAAACUGGGAAACUUGAGUGCAGAAGAGAAGAGUGGAAUUCCACGUGUAGCGGUGAAAUGCGUAGAGAUGUGGAGGAACACCAGUGGCGAAGGCGACUCUUUGGUCUGUAACUGACGCUGAGGCGCGAAAGCGUGGGGAGCAAACAGG
Molecule: ribosomal RNA, 253 nt
Filed under: uncultured bacterium
Lineage: Bacteria
Description: partial 16S ribosomal RNA
Rfam family: Bacterial small subunit ribosomal RNA
Source: RNAcentral